AGAGUUUGAUUAUGGCUCAGAUUGAACGCUGGCGGCAGGCCUAACACAUGCAAGUCGAACGGUAACAGGAAGAAGCUUGCUUCUUUGCUGACGAGUGGCGGACGGGUGAGUAAUGUCUGGGAAACUGCCUGAUGGAGGGGGAUAACUACUGGAAACGGUAGCUAAUACCGCAUAACGUCGCAAGACCAAAGAGGGGGACCUUCGGGCCUCUUGCCAUCGGAUGUGCCCAGAUGGGAUUAGCUAGUAGGUGGGGUAACGGCUCACCUAGGCGACGAUCCCUAGCUGGUCUGAGAGGAUGACCAGCCACACUGGAACUGAGACACGGUCCAGACUCCUACGGGAGGCAGCAGUGGGGAAUAUUGCACAAUGGGCGCAAGCCUGAUGCAGCCAUGCCGCGUGUAUGAAGAAGGCCUUCGGGUUGUAAAGUACUUUCAGCGGGGAGGAAGGGAGUAAAGUUAAUACCUUUGCUCAUUGACGUUACCCGCAGAAGAAGCACCGGCUAACUCCGUGCCAGCAGCCGCGGUAAUACGGAGGGUGCAAGCGUUAAUCGGAAUUACUGGGCGUAAAGCGCACG
Molecule: ribosomal RNA, 574 nt
Filed under: uncultured bacterium
Lineage: Bacteria
Description: bacterial SSU rRNA
Rfam family: Bacterial small subunit ribosomal RNA
Source: RNAcentral